RNAcentral lists this ribosomal RNA (253 nucleotides) under uncultured bacterium. Its description in RNAcentral is "partial 16S ribosomal RNA". It matches the Rfam family "Bacterial small subunit ribosomal RNA", at positions 524 to 776 of the family's 1533-position model. The record is from RNAcentral.
GACAGAGGCCCCAAGCGUUAGGCGGAAUCACUGGGCUUAAAGGGCGCGUAGGCGGGCUGCCAAGUUCGGGGUGAAAUCCUCCCGCUCAACGGGAGAACGGCCCCGAAUACUGGCGGUCUCGAGGGAGGUAGGGGCGUGCGGAACUAUGGGUGGAGCGGUGAAAUGCAUUGAGAUCGGAAAGAACACCAACGGCGAAAGCACUCUGCUGGGCCGACACUGACACUGAGAGACGAAAGCUAGGGGAGCAAAUGGG